RNAcentral lists this long non-coding RNA (1267 nucleotides) under Marmota monax (woodchuck). Lineage: Eukaryota; Metazoa; Chordata; Mammalia; Rodentia; Sciuridae. The record is from RNAcentral.
UUCAGUCUUAUGGCCAAGUAAGAUAGAGCAACAGAAAAUAGAAAGCUUAACUACAUUGAACUCUUUUUAGAGAUUCUUUUGCUAAUAUUUCUAAUAUCAAUUAUGGUGUGAAUUUCUGGGAAAAAUAACUAAUUAAGAUUUUCUGUGGAGAAGGGGGUGCUACUACAAUAAUAUCAAAGUUAGCAUUAAUAAAUGCAUGCACUCACAAUAUAAAAAUAAAAUAAAAAUUGGUAAAAAUACUUUUAAUUCACAUGAUUUGAUAAGGUUCAAUUUGAAUUGGGUAAUUCAAUAAUAAAAAAAAAACAAUGACUUUAUCAUUAAUACACAUUUUCCAGCUGGUUAAAUGAUCUGUUUUCUAAUUUCUAUAAUAAUGUUUAUAUCCAUUUAUUGUAACACUUUCAUUCAACAGGAAAAACAUAACUAAUAUUAUUAUUUGCAUUUACCUCAUGCCCUGACUAUUAAAUUUAAGGUAAAUGACAUUAAUUAUAUAAAUAUUCAUUACAAGAGACAAUUAUUGACUUAAAAUAUUAAGAGGCUAACUAUUCGACAUAAUAUCAAGUACACUUAGCUCCUUAAAUGACAUAAAGUAACAUAUUUUAGAUUAUUAAUGUUUUCUUAAGCUUAUAAAAAAAGUACACAUUUAUGAUUGUCUUAUGCCAUCACUAAGAACAAGGCUUCUAAAAGUUAAGUCCUAAUAGAUAUAAUUCUUUAUACAAAAGUGUCCAAAAGUUUUGGCUACAUUUUAACUGGAAUAUUUUCUCUUAUUAAAAUAUAAUAAUUUGUCUAGAUUCAGAGUUUUAUAGGGAUAAUUCUAGAAUACAAUCACAGAGGAUUCUACAGAUGAGAAAGACAUAUUACAAAAUUCUAGAAAGAAAGAACAUUGCUUCCACACAGAGAAAAGAAAAAAAAUGGAGAGUUCUAGAAGCAAGAAAGAAAAUGUCUCUGGGUAAAAAAGUCUUUAUAUAUUAAAUACUUUGAUAGUAGGAAGGAAGAGAUUUUUCUAAAUGUGAAAAUCUUUGUAUGGUUAUAUACAGGAAAUUCUAAGUAAGUAAUUAAAAAGGUUUGUAAGUAAUAAGUUUGUGUGUAAUUAAGUUGCAAGUGAAUAUAUGGAACAAUAAAAAAUAUUUAAGGUUUUUCUCCAAGAUCAAAUACUAAUAUGUAAAUGUAAACCAAAAUAUAGAAUAAUUUUUUAUGCCUGGUAAGUUCUAUUAUUUAAAACAGGGCUAAUUUAAAAAAAAUAAAAUUUAUAUAAUUUUGACAAGACAAC